AGUGAACGCUGGCGGUAGGCCUAACACAUGCGAGUCGAACGGCAGCACAGUAAGAGCUUGCCCUUACGGGUGGCGAGUGGCGGACGGGUGAGGAAUACAUCGGAAUCUACUUUUUCGUGGGGGAUAACGUAGGGAAACUUACGCUAAUACCGCAUACGACCUACGGGUGAAAGCAGGGGAUCUUCGGACCUUGCGCGAUUGAAUGAGCCGAUGUCGGAUUAGCUAGUUGGCGGGGUAAAGGCCCACCAAGGCGACGAUCCGUAGCUGGUCUGAGAGGAUGAUCAGCCACACUGGAACCGAGACACGGUCCAGACUCCUACGGGAGGCAGCAGUGGGGAAUAUUGGACAAUGGGCGCAAGCCUGAUCCAGCCAUACCGCGUGGGUGAAGAAGGCCUUCGGGUUGUAAAGCCCUUUUGUUGGGAAAGAAAAGCAGCAGGUUAAUACCCCGCUGUUCUGACGGUACCCAAAGAAUAAGCACCGGCUAACUUCGUG
RNAcentral lists this ribosomal RNA (492 nucleotides) under uncultured bacterium. RNAcentral's name for it is "partial 16S ribosomal RNA". It matches the Rfam family "Bacterial small subunit ribosomal RNA", at positions 29 to 507 of the family's 1533-position model. The record is from RNAcentral.